UACGUAGGGUGCGAGCGUUAAUCGGAAUUACUGGGCGUAAAGCGUGCGUAGGUGGUUCGUUAAGUCCGUUUGUGAAAGCCCCCGAGCUCAACUUGGGAAUUGCAGUGGAUACUGGCGAGCUGGAGGACGGUAGAGGGGGGGUGGAAUUCCCGGUGUAGUGGGUGAAAAUGCGUAGAGAUCGGGAGGAACACCUGUGGCGAAG
This 202-nucleotide ribosomal RNA is filed under the name uncultured bacterium. RNAcentral describes it as "partial 16S ribosomal RNA". It matches the Rfam family "Bacterial small subunit ribosomal RNA", at positions 524 to 720 of the family's 1533-position model. The record is from RNAcentral.